Molecule: unclassified non-coding RNA, 508 nt
Filed under: Fusarium oxysporum
Lineage: Eukaryota; Fungi; Ascomycota; Sordariomycetes; Hypocreales; Nectriaceae
Description: sequence contains ITS1, 5.8S rRNA gene, ITS2
Rfam family: 5.8S ribosomal RNA (bases 162-315)
Source: RNAcentral
GGAGGGAUCAUUACCGAGUUUACAACUCCCAAACCCCUGUGAACAUACCACUUGUUGCCUCGGCGGAUCAGCCCGCUCCCGGUAAAACGGGACGGCCCGCCAGAGGACCCCUAAACUCUGUUUCUAUAUGUAACUUCUGAGUAAAACCAUAAAUAAAUCAAAACUUUCAACAACGGAUCUCUUGGUUCUGGCAUCGAUGAAGAACGCAGCAAAAUGCGAUAAGUAAUGUGAAUUGCAGAAUUCAGUGAAUCAUCGAAUCUUUGAACGCACAUUGCGCCCGCCAGUAUUCUGGCGGGCAUGCCUGUUCGAGCGUCAUUUCAACCCUCAAGCACAGCUUGGUGUUGGGACUCGCGUUAAUUCGCGUUCCCCAAAUUGAUUGGCGGUCACGUCGAGCUUCCAUAGCGUAGUAGUAAAACCCUCGUUACUGGUAAUCGUCGCGGCCACGCCGUUAAACCCCAACUUCUGAAUGUUGACCUCGGAUCAGGUAGGAAUACCCGCUGAACUUAAG